Dermacentor silvarum is the source of this 74-nucleotide non-coding RNA. The record is from the annotation of a RefSeq genome assembly. Lineage: Eukaryota; Metazoa; Arthropoda; Arachnida; Ixodida; Ixodidae.
UGCCUGCUAGCUGAGUCGGUUAGAGCAUCGUGCUAAUAACGCGAAGGUCGCAGGUACGAUCCCUGCGCAGGCCA